UAAAGAUAUGAAAAAUACUCAAAUUCACUCAAUUAGAGAAAUGCAGAUGCUAUGAUCUAAAUGUUUGUGUCUCCCCCAAAUUCAUAUGUUGAAAACCUAAUGUCCAAGGUGAUGGCAUGAGGAGGUGGGACCUUUGCAGGGGGGUGAUUAGGUCAUGAGGGUGGACCCCUCAUGAAUGGGAUUAGUGCUCUGAUAAAAGAGACCUCACAGAGCUCCCAAGCCCCUUCUACCAUGUGAGGACACAGGGGGCAGUUGGCAGUCUGCAAUCUGGAAGAGGGCCUUCACCAGAACCCAGCCAUGCUGGCACCAGGAUCUUGGACUUCCAGCCUCCAGAACCAUGAGAUAUAAAUUUCUUUUGUUUGUAAGCCACCCAGUCUGUGGUAUUUUGUUAACAGCAGUCCAAACAGACUAAGACAGCAAAUAAAAGAACACUGAGAUACUUACCAGACUGGCAAACACACAAACAUAUAUAUCGAAACAUCCUGUUGUUGAGGCUGUGGGGAAACAGUCACUCUUACACGUUACUGGUGGGCAUGCAAAUUCGUUUACCCCUUCUGGAGGGAAAUAGGACACCACCUGACACACUACAUACAUACUUACAUCGCAAUCCAGCAACCCCACUUCUAGGACAUGAAGGUGUAUAUAUGUACAAGGUUAUGUAUGGCAGCAUUCUUUGUAAUUGCAAAAUAAUUGAAAACAACCUAAAUACCCAUAUACAAGAGAGUGGUUAAAUAAACUGUGGUACAUCCACACAAUGGAAUAGUAUACAGCUGUGAAGAAGAACGAGGCGGCUCUCUCUGUGAAUGGAUGUGAUAUGAUUUCCAGGACACACUGUUAAGGGAAGAAAGCAGUGUCCAAAUGAGUAUCUAUAGUAUGCUAUAGGAAGUACAGGAAGGGCAACCCAGAAACUAAAUAGAUUGGUGGGAAAAGGCUGGAGAGAAGGGAAAAAUGGGAUCAGGGUUGCUGGGAUGAGAGGGGAAUACACUCCUGUGAAUAUAUCAUUUUGUAUAACUCUAACCAUAGUAAUGUCUCACCCCCCAAAUAAAUAAAUAGUUAAGGUGGAGUAGGAUGUAGGGGGAACGGAAGAUGGAAUACAAACAGAUGAAUCACAAGUAACAACCACACUGAAGGUGCUGGGAAGAAAAGAACUCACUGAAGUAACCUUGGAAAAGAGUGUCUUGAUUGGAUACGAGAAGAGUAAAGGGCACCAGCUGAAGGAUGAGAAUUUUGGGAAGAAAUUGGGGAAGAAACUCAGGAGAGAGGAAAACAUGAAAUAAGUGCGUGAGGACAAAAGUGGAACUGAGGCCACUGGGCUCUGGUGCCGGGAUCCCGUCCCUACCAGCGUUGCUGUGGGGAGGGCCCCACUCGCAGUGCCAGUGGCGGGGGGCGCUAUGGCUGUCCAGACCUCGGGAAGCUGCUGCGAUGGUUUGGGAUGUGCUGGUCACCCCACGGUCCAAGGCAGAUGUGCUACCAGAAAGCUGGCCAUGGCAAGGCUGGAGGUGCCCAGAAUGAGAACCUAGGGUUGGAUUUGUGUGUGCAUGCCUGCCCUGCUCAGCACGCAGAAACUGCUGCGGAGGUGCCAGUCCCAUGGGGUCACCCUGAAGACGCCUCUCCCUCUCCCUGCUUCAGCAGCAAAUGAGAACCUCGCUCUCGUGGCAGUGCCAGGCUCAUCACCAGCCAGGUGUGGAGAUGGCAACACCCAUGCCUGCAGAUGGAGCCAGUUGGUGCAGGCGUCCGCCUGCAUGGCCAGGGGGAAGUUAAUCUUCCAGUCCCUGCGACCGGCAGAGGUAGGUGCUGCUUUAAAUUAUGAGGGAAACUUCCAAUUUCCAAAUUCAGGGUCCACUUCAUCAACAAGAUAAAAAUGACCGCAGAGAAACAACAUGAUGCUAGCCCCCUUUCCCACCGCUCUGCCUUGCUCUCCCCCUGCACCAGCUGUGGAAAGGACGGAGGGUAAGGCAAGCUUUGCCGCUAUCCUAGACUUUCUUCCCAAGCAGCUUCUACAAGGGUGCUGAUGAUCAAGAGGAAAUUGUACCUCAAGAUACUAGGUCAUCCCUGAGAUGCGGCCCUCCCUCCGCAUACAGCAUGAGUAGCUAUCAUCUCCUGGACACCUACUGUGUGUCAUUCACCAUGCUUGGUACUUUUCAUGCACUGUGUUAUUUAAUUCUUAUGAUGGUCCAUGAUGGGAUCUCCAAUUAACAGGUGGAGAAACUGGGCUUCAGACAGGUUAUUUGUCCAAUGUCACUCAGCCCACAGAGGGACCCGGGUCAGUGGGCAGCCAAAGCCCCAUGCUGUUAGCCAAGAUGCUACUCUGUGGCUACCAGGCACUGUGCACUGGCGCUCAUGUUUCUGGGAUCUUGCUAAAGUAAAAUUUUUCUCUCCCUAAAACGGUGCUUUGCUUUUUCUGGGCCACC
This is a non-coding RNA of Delphinapterus leucas (beluga whale), 2411 nucleotides long. Lineage: Eukaryota; Metazoa; Chordata; Mammalia; Artiodactyla; Monodontidae. The record is from RefSeq and is a predicted model, not a curated record.